AUUGAACGCUGGCGGCAGGCCUAACACAUGCAAGUCGAGCGGCAGCGGAAAGUAGCUUGCUACUUUGCCGGCGAGCGGCGGACGGGUGAGUAAUGUCUGGGAAACUGCCUGAUGGAGGGGGAUAACUACUGGAAACGGUGGCUAAUACCGCAUAACGUCGCAAGACCAAAGUGGGGGACCUUCGGGCCUCACGCCAUCGGAUGUGCCCAGAUGGGAUUAGCUAGUAGGUGGGGUAAUGGCUCACCUAGGCGACGAUCCCUAGCUGGUCUGAGAGGAUGACCAGCCACACUGGAACUGAGACACGGUCCAGACUCCUACGGGAGGCAGCAGUGGGGAAUAUUGCACAAUGGGCGCAAGCCUGAUGCAGCCAUGCCGCGUGUGUGAAGAAGGCCUUCGGGUUGUAAAGCACUUUCAGCGAGGAGGAAGGCAUCAUACUUAAUACGUGUGGUGAUUGACGUUACUCGCAGAAGAAGCACCGGCUAACUCCGUGCCAGCAGCCGCGGUAAUACGGAGGGUGCAAGCGUUAAUCGGAAUUACUGGGCGUAAAGCGCACGCAGGCGGUUUGUUAANUCANAUGUGAAAUCCCCGAGCUCAACUUGGGAACUGCAUUUGAAACUGGCAAGCUAGANUCUUGUAGAGGGGGGUA
RNAcentral lists this ribosomal RNA (646 nucleotides) under uncultured prokaryote. RNAcentral's name for it is "bacterial SSU rRNA". It matches the Rfam family "Bacterial small subunit ribosomal RNA", at positions 28 to 663 of the family's 1533-position model. The record is from RNAcentral.